UACGUAGGUGACCAGCGUUGUCCGGAUUUACUGGGCGUAAAGAGCGCGCAGGCGGUCGUUCAAGUCGAGUGUGAAAGCCCCCGGCUCAACUGGGGAGGGUCACUCGAUACUGAUCGACUUGAAGGCAGGAGAGGGAAGCGGAAUUCCCGGUGUAGUGGUGAAAUGCGGCAGAUAUCGGGAAGAACACCCGUGGCGAAGGCGGCACUCUGGGACGGUACUGACGCUGAGACGCGAAAGCGUGGGGAGCGAACAGG
RNAcentral lists this ribosomal RNA (254 nucleotides) under uncultured bacterium. RNAcentral's name for it is "partial 16S ribosomal RNA". It matches the Rfam family "Bacterial small subunit ribosomal RNA", at positions 524 to 776 of the family's 1533-position model. The record is from RNAcentral.